GCAACCUCCGCCUCCCGGGUUCAGCAAUUCUCCUGCCUCAGUCUCCCAAGCUGGAGUGCAAUGGUGCAAUCUCGGAUCACUGCAACCUCCGCCUCCUGAUUUCAAAGACAGGGUCUUGCUGUCUCCCAGGCUGCUGGAGUGCAAUGACGCCAUCAUGGCUCACUGCAGCCUCAACCUCCUGGGCUCAAGUGAUCCUCCCACCUCAUCCUCCCAAGCAGCUGGAACUACAGGUGCAUGCUACCACACAGCUAUUUUUUUUUUUAAGAGAUGGUCUUGCUAUGUUGUCCAGGCUGGUCUCAAACUCCUGGGCACAAGCAUUCCUCCCACUUUGACCUCCCAAAGUGCUGGGAUCACAGGCAUGAGCAACCGUGUCCAGCAUUAUUAUGCUUUUAUAAUUUCAGCAAAAAUAGUA
Long non-coding RNA from Symphalangus syndactylus (siamang), 412 nucleotides. RefSeq lists it as uncharacterized. Lineage: Eukaryota; Metazoa; Chordata; Mammalia; Primates; Hylobatidae. The record is from RefSeq and is a predicted model, not a curated record.